RNAcentral lists this ribosomal RNA (584 nucleotides) under uncultured bacterium. RNAcentral's name for it is "bacterial SSU rRNA". It matches the Rfam family "Bacterial small subunit ribosomal RNA", at positions 338 to 916 of the family's 1533-position model. The record is from RNAcentral.
CCUACGGGAGGCAGCAGUAGGGAAUCUUCCACAAUGGGCGAAAGCCUGAUGGAGCAACGCCGCGUGGGUGAUGAAGGCCUUCGGGUUGUAAAACUCUGUCAUUCGGGACGAACCGGAGUCUGAGGAAAUGCAGACUCUCUGACGGUACCGGAGGAGGAAGCCCCGGCUAACUACGUGCCAGCAGCCGCGGUAAUACGUAGGGGGCAAGCGUUGUCCGGAUUCACUGGGCGUAAAGCGCGCGCAGGCGGUGAUGUAAGUCUGAGGUGAAAACCCGAAGCUCAACUUCGGGACUGCCUUGGAUACUGCGUCACUUGAGGAUAGGAGAGGCAAGGGGAAUUCCACGUGUAGCGGUGAAAUGCGUAGAGAUGUGGAGGAACACCUGUGGCGAAGGCGCCUUGCUGGCCUAUUUCUGACGCUGAGGCGCGAAAGCGUGGGGAGCAAACAGGAUUAGAUACCCUGGUAGUCCACGCUGUAAACGAUGAGUGCUAGGUGUAGGUGGGCUCAUACCCAUCUGUGCCGAAGCUAACGCAUUAAGCACUCCGCCUGGGGAGUCGGUCGCAGACUGAAACUUAAGGAAUUGACGG